RNAcentral lists this long non-coding RNA (1327 nucleotides) under Olea europaea subsp. europaea. Lineage: Eukaryota; Viridiplantae; Streptophyta; Magnoliopsida; Lamiales; Oleaceae. The record is from RNAcentral.
UAACAGAGGAAGCAGUGACAACUGCUCUAAGAAGAGCCAUCAGUUUCUAUUCUACAAUUCAGGCUCACGAUGGCCACUGGCCAACUGAAUCCGUCGGCCCUUUGUUUCUCCUCCCUCCUUUGGUAAAUUUGCCGCCCUUUUAAUUCCACUUGAACAUUUUCCCAAAUCAUAAAUUGGAUUUCGAGGACUACAUUUGAAUAAAUAAGCUUAAGCCUCUAGACGAGGUGAUUCAAUGUGCUACGGGAUCAGACAGGUUAUAAGUUCAAGUUUCUUUGGACCAAAUGAUUUAACAAUGUGUGGUCCUAGAUAUUGCACACAUACAUGUUACAACUAAGGAAUCGCAAUUUUGAAGCGUACAGGUCUUAGCCUUGUAUGUAACUGGAGCAAUCAAUGUUGUUCUAUUGCGAGAAUCUCAGAAAGAGAUUAUACGAUACGUAUACAAUCAUUAGGCUAGGUUUAAACUGAAUUUUUGAUUCAUUUUUGGGUUUUCUGGAACAAAUGUUUCGUUUUUAUAAGGCCUCUUUAUUAGAUUAUUGUAUUUUUUCAUCUGACUAUGAGCUUCACUAAAUUAGUGUUGUGAUCCUUGAUGGAAUGAAGAUGGAGGUUGGGAGAUACAUAUAAAGGGUCAUAGUACCAUACUUGGUUCUGUACUUAGCUACAUUACGCUUAGGUUGCUAAGAGAAGGACAAGAAGAUGGUGAAGACAGGGCCGUAUCUAGAGGUUGAAAAUGGAUACUUGACCAUGUAGCGCUUUGGGGAUACCAUCGUGGGGAAUGUUUUAGCUCACAGUGAGAUCAUGACUUGAAACUCUCUCUAUAUGUACUUGUGUUUUUGUCAGAUUAAUAAUUCAACAGAAAAUAAAGUUUUGAUUUUCUCUUCCACUACAGGUGCUCGGAGUAUAUGAGUAGGAUGGCUGGAACCCAAUUCCCCCAGGAUUCUAGCUGCUUCCCCAAUUGUCCCCAAUUCAUCCAGGAUGAAUAACUACUGUAUAAGUAAAAAAGAAUUGGUUUCUUUCAAAUCGUUAAAGCCCAGCCCCAACAAAGAAGAUGGUCAAAAGUGUGUUGGUGGUGGAGGGGAAGGGAACAAAAUCCCACGUGGCAUGUUUAGGACACUCUUCCCAGAUGAUCAAAUUUCAGCUAAACGACAUUGCAAAAAAAAAAAAACAAUCUGGAAUUUGAUCUUUUGAAGUCUAUCAUAGCAGAUUUAUUUAAAAUCCCCAAAUUAAAUGAAAUCCCAAAACUCCCAAAAUAAAACCUUAACUAACAAAAAUCACAGCACUGAAGAAAGGUCUCAAAUUGAAAACUUAAGUCCACGAAAUCAGAUUUAUC